This 253-nucleotide ribosomal RNA is filed under the name uncultured bacterium. RNAcentral describes it as "partial 16S ribosomal RNA". It matches the Rfam family "Bacterial small subunit ribosomal RNA", at positions 524 to 776 of the family's 1533-position model. The record is from RNAcentral.
UACAGAGGUCUCGAGCGUUAGGCGGAAUCACUGGGCUUAAAGCGUGUGUAGGCGGAUCGUUAAGUGCCUUGUGAAAUCCCACGGCUCAACCGUGGAACUGCUUGGCAUACUGGCGGUCUUGAGCAACCUAGGGGCGAGCGGAACAAAUGGUGGAGCGGUGAAAUGCGUAGAUAUCAGGAGGAACACCGGUGGUGUAGACGGCUCUCUGGACCGUAACUGACGCUGAGACACGAAAGCGUGGGUAGCAAACAGG